This 402-nucleotide unclassified non-coding RNA is filed under the name soil metagenome. RNAcentral's name for it is "partial contains 5.8S ribosomal RNA, internal transcribed spacer 2, and large subunit ribosomal RNA". The stretch from base 1 to 121 matches the Rfam family "5.8S ribosomal RNA", at positions 35 to 154 of the family's 154-position model. The record is from RNAcentral.
GAUGAAGAACGCAGCGAAAUGCGAUAAGUAAUGUGAAUUGCAGAAUUCAGUGAAUCAUCGAAUCUUUGAACGCACCUUGCGCCCUUUGGCUAUUCCGAAGGGCAUGCCUGUUUGAGUAUCAUGAACACCUCAACUCUCAUGGUUUGCCAUGAUGAGCUUGGACUCUGGGGGUCUUGCUGGCCUAUGGUCAGCUCCUCUCAAAUAAAUCAGCUUGCCAGUGUUUGGUGGCAUCACAGGUGUGAUAACUAUCUACGCUUGUGGUUUUCCAUCAGGUAACCUUCAGUGAUGGAGGUUCGCUGGAGAUCAUAAAUGUCCCUCCUCAGCGAGGACAGCUUUUUGAACGUUUGAUCUCAAAUCAGGUAGGACUACCCGCUGAACUUAAGCAUAUCAAUAAGCGGAGGA